GGUAUCAGAAGUGCGAAUGCUGACAUAAGUAACGAUAAAGCGGGUGAAAAGCCCGCUCGCCGGAAGACCAAGGGUUCCUGUCCAACGUUAAUCGGGGCAGGGUGAGUCGACCCCUAAGGCGAGGCCGAAAGGCGUAGUCGAUGGGAAACGGGUUAAUAUUCCCGUACUUGGUGUUACUGCGAAGGGGGGACGGAGAAGGCUAUGUUGGCCGGGCGACGGUUGUCCCGGUUUAAGCGUGUAGGUGUGUGUUCCAGGUAAAUCCGGUUCACUUUAACACUGAGGCGUGAUGACGAGGCACUACGGUGCUGAAGCAACAAAUGCCCUGCUUCCAGGAAAAGCCUCUAAGCAUCAGGUAACAUCAAAUCGUACCCCAAACCGACACAGGUGGUCAGGUAGAGAAUACCAAGGCGCUUGAGAGAACUCGGGUGAAGGAACUAGGCAAAAUGGUGCCGUAACUUCGGGAGAAGGCACGCUGACACGUAGGUGAAGUGAUUUACUCAUGGAGCUGAAGUCAGUCGAAGAUACCAGCUGGCUGCAACUGUUUAUUAAAAACACAGCACUGUGCAAACACGAAAGUGGACGUAUACGGUGUGACGCCUGCCCGGUGCCGGAAGGUUAAUUGAUGGGGUCAGCGCAAGCGAAGCUCCUGAUCGAAGCCCCGGUAAACGGCGGCCGUAACUAUAACGGUCCUAAGGUAGCGAAAUUCCUUGUCGGGUAAGUUCCGACCUGCACGAAUGGCGUAAUGAUGGCCAGGCUGUCUCCACCCGAGACUCAGUGAAAUUGAACUCGCUGUGAAGAUGCAGUGUACCCGCGGCAAGACGGAAAGACCCCGUGAACCUUUACUAUAGCUUGACACUGAACAUUGAGCCUUGAUGUGUAGGAUAGGUGGGAGGCUUUGAAGUGUGGACGCCAGUCUGCAUGGAGCCGACCUUGAAAUACCACCCUUUAAUGUUUGAUGUUCUAACGUGGACCCGUAAUCCGGGUUGCGGACAGUGUCUGGUGGGUAGUUUGACUGGGGCGGUCUCCUCCUAAAGAGUAACGGAGGAGCACGAAGGUUGGCUAAUCCUGGUCGGACAUCAGGAGGUUAGUGCAAUGGCAUAAGCCAGCUUGACUGCGAGCGUGACGGCGCGAGCAGGUGCGAAAGCAGGUCAUAGUGAUCCGGUGGUUCUGAAUGGAAGGGCCAUCGCUCAACGGAUAAAAGGUACUCCGGGGAUAACAGGCUGAUACCGCCCAAGAGUUCAUAUCGACGGCGGUGUUUGGCACCUCGAUGUCGGCUCAUCACAUCCUGGGGCUGAAGUAGGUCCCAAGGGUAUGGCUGUUCGCCAUUUAAAGUGGUACGCGAGCUGGGUUUAGAACGUCGUGAGACAGUUCGGUCCCUAUCUGCCGUGGGCGCUGGAGAACUGAGGGGGGCUGCUCCUAGUACGAGAGGACCGGAGUGGACGCAUCACUGGUGUUCGGGUUGUCAUGCCAAUGGCACUGCCCGGUAGCUAAAUGCGGAAGAGAUAAGUGCUGAAAGCAUCUAAGCACGAAACUUGCCCCGAGAUGAGUUCU
Molecule: ribosomal RNA, 1551 nt
Filed under: Salmonella enterica
Lineage: Bacteria; Pseudomonadati; Pseudomonadota; Gammaproteobacteria; Enterobacterales; Enterobacteriaceae
Also listed under: 1 other name
Description: bacterial LSU rRNA
Rfam family: Bacterial large subunit ribosomal RNA
Source: RNAcentral